UACGUAGGGGGCAAGCGUUGUCCGGAAUCAUUGGGCGUAAAGCGCGCGUAGGCGGCCCUGUAAGUCCGUUGUGAAAGUCAAAGGCUCAACCUUUGAAAGCCGGUGGAUACUGCAGGGCUCGAGUUCGGAAGAGGCGAGUGGAAUUCCUGGUGUAGCGGUGGAAUGCGCAGAUAUCAGGAGGAACACCAAUAGCGAAGGCAGCUCGCUGGGACGAUACUGACGCUAAGGCGCGAAAGCGUGGGGAGCGAACAGG
RNAcentral lists this ribosomal RNA (253 nucleotides) under uncultured bacterium. RNAcentral describes it as "partial 16S ribosomal RNA". It matches the Rfam family "Bacterial small subunit ribosomal RNA", at positions 524 to 776 of the family's 1533-position model. The record is from RNAcentral.